UUUGUGACUUUACCAUUUUGGA
RNAcentral lists this small nuclear RNA (22 nucleotides) under Arabidopsis thaliana (thale cress). Its description in RNAcentral is "snRNA_18241". Lineage: Eukaryota; Viridiplantae; Streptophyta; Magnoliopsida; Brassicales; Brassicaceae. The record is from RNAcentral.